This 281-nucleotide unclassified non-coding RNA is filed under the name uncultured fungus. RNAcentral describes it as "partial contains 18S rRNA, ITS1, 5.8S rRNA, ITS2 and 28S rRNA". The record is from RNAcentral. Lineage: Eukaryota; Fungi.
AAGGAUCAUUAUUGAAAUAAACCUGAUAAGUUGCUGCUGGUUCUCUAGGGAGCAAUGUGCACACUUGUCAUCUUUGUAUCUUCACCUGUGCACCUUUUGUAGACCUGAUGAUCUCUCUGAAUGCUUAUAGCACUCAGGAUUGAGAAUUGACUUCUUGUCUCUUCUUAUAUUUUCAGGUCUAUGUUUCUUCAUAUACCCUAAUGUAUGUUUAUAGAAUGUAAUUAAUGGGCCUUUGUGCCUAUAAACUUUUACAACUUUCAGCAACGGAUCUCUUGGCUCUC